This is a long non-coding RNA of Bactrocera neohumeralis, 824 nucleotides long. RefSeq lists it as uncharacterized. The transcript is spliced from 2 exons. The record is from RefSeq and is a predicted model, not a curated record. Lineage: Eukaryota; Metazoa; Arthropoda; Insecta; Diptera; Tephritidae.
CUUUGCAGCACUUUUUCUCGGUAUUAAUGCGAAAACAUCUGCUUCGAAACGCUUUAGCAAACUGUCAUGUGUUUUGUUGUAAAAUACGGAGAAUUCGUUGGUUGAAUGUGCACUUGAAUAAUACUAAGAAUUCGCUUAUGAAUUAAUGCGAAAUAAGUUUUACAACAAAUCGAAAAUACAUUUUGUGUGACAGUCUAUUUCGUGCUAUGUAUGUUAGAAGUUGUUUUUGAGCGUUUAAAUAUACAUACAUAUGUAAGUUUUGUUUCGAAUUCAUCUGUUGUCAAUCACAACUUUAUUACAGAUUUUCAAAAUUAAAAAGCAAGGUCUGGAGCUUCUUUAUGAGAAAUUCAGAUGCUUCCGCCACAUGCAAACUCUGCAACUACAAAUUAAAAACGGGUUGGGGUCAAAAUUCUGCUUUUUUGGAAAUUCUGCAUUCAUAAUUCCGGAAGUCGGAACACCGGGAAUCAAAGUUAUGGAAGUCAAUAUUCUGGAAUUCAAAAUUCUGGAUAACGAAAUUCUAAAUUGCAAAAUUCUGAAUGGCAAAAUUCUGUAAUCAUAUGUUUUAUUGCCUAGUAAGUAGUUUUUUACAAUUGCAUGAUUGUAUUUGUUAUUGUUAUUUCUUUGUUUGUUGUUGUUCAUUUACUUUUUUGUACAACCAUAAUGAUUUAGUUGACUAUGUACCUACAUAUACAUACAUAUAUGUACUGACUAAGCAAUGUGUUACUGCAAUUUUAUUAAUAAAAACGUGCUAAAUAUUUUUGUGAAAUGAUGGAAAAUAUAACUGUGGUGAAGUCCAAUAAAGGAAAAGACAUGUUAAACGUCGA